UACGAAGGGGGCUAGCGUUGCUCGGAAUCACUGGGCGUAAAGGGUGCGUAGGCGGGUCUUUAAGUCAGGGGUGAAAUCCUGGAGCUCAACUCCAGAACUGCCCUUUGAUACUGAGGAUCUUGAGUUCGGGAGAGGUGAGUGGAACUGCGAGUGUAGAGGUGAAAUUCGUAGAUAUCGAGAGGAACACCUGCGGCGAAGGCGGGUUGCUGGGCUGACACUGACGCUGAGGCGCGAAAGCUAGGGGAGCGAACGGG
Molecule: ribosomal RNA, 254 nt
Filed under: uncultured bacterium
Lineage: Bacteria
Description: partial 16S ribosomal RNA
Rfam family: Bacterial small subunit ribosomal RNA
Source: RNAcentral